This 260-nucleotide long non-coding RNA is filed under the name Brassica napus (rape). RNAcentral's name for it is "long non-coding RNA (BNAP_LNC023638)". The record is from RNAcentral. Lineage: Eukaryota; Viridiplantae; Streptophyta; Magnoliopsida; Brassicales; Brassicaceae.
AGCCCGCCUGGUGCAUGAAUGUCUCUAGCCCGCUCAGAAAUGCGUUUGUCACCCUCCCGUCGGAAUCUUUGUGCAAAUACAUCCAACUCCGCAACUCGUAAAUACUACCGCCACCGGCCAUUUUUUCUUAGAUUUUUUUUUCAAAUCUUUUUUUUUUCUGAUUUUUUUCGGAUUUUUUUUCUCCCGUUUGUGUGUUGUGAGGAAGAGAGUUGUGGGAAAUGACAUAUAUAUAGAGAAAUUUUCGAGUUAGGUAGUUGAAA